Molecule: long non-coding RNA, 876 nt
Filed under: Amborella trichopoda
Lineage: Eukaryota; Viridiplantae; Streptophyta; Magnoliopsida; Amborellales; Amborellaceae
Description: long non-coding RNA (ATRI_LNC002075)
Source: RNAcentral
AUUAAAAUUAUAUUUGUGUAUAAAAAUAUUUUCUCGGGCUAUCACACUAGAACUGCAUCUUCCAGUCGAAUUAAGUGAUACCUUUUACUGAGAUUGUGCAAGAUCGGCCAUAUAUAAUGGCAUCGAAGGAAUAGCUUGCAAUUAAAUGAGCUUUGCUCGAGCUAUGCACUAAUAAGAGCUCACUAAUAUUUUGUAAUCCCAAUUAUCAUAUUAAAUUACAUGUUGGAAUUCCAAUUAUCAUACUAAAUUGCACAGCUGACCUCUAUGGGUAAUCUGGGUAUACAGCCUUGGUUUUAUUUAUGUGAAAAAGAGUAAAAUAUUUUGUAUUUUAAUUAUUUUAAAGCGACUUCUGCUAACUUUUACCACUUUUUAGAUAUGUGGGUUUUACUAAAAGGGAAAAAGUUUAUAUAAAGCUUAGGUUCUAAACAAUCAAAUUUGAGCCUACUUCAAAAAUUUCAUUAGAAGAGGUUGCUUUGAUGCCCAAUUAUCUUCAAAUUGAUCAUCUCGACAUCAAUAUACAUGGACAUGAGAAAAAAAUGGAUUGCAAGGUUUGGAAAUGGGUGCAGUUGGCAUACAGAUGCAUCCGUAGUUUUAGAGGUAAAGUGCACCUUCAAAUUUUAUCAUGGUAUAUAAUUUUGAUAUAAAAUGUUCUUAGGAUUAUCUCAAAAUCUAUUUUUAUAUCUAAUUAUAAAAUGUUCAAUGUCAAAUAUGGUUAAAAUCAAGUAGAUCUACAAACAUAUGAAAAACUUGAAAAUGGAUGGUGUAGAUAAUAUGCUGUAAAAUGCACUGUUUUUGAGACUUAAAAUCUUUUAUUUUUCAUAGUCAUACAUUUCAAUUUCGAGAUGAUCAAUUAAAGGGUUUUUCAAUAUUAAAACU